Bombus terrestris (buff-tailed bumblebee) is the source of this 1308-nucleotide long non-coding RNA. RefSeq lists it as uncharacterized. NCBI's taxonomy places the organism in Eukaryota, Metazoa, Arthropoda, Insecta, Hymenoptera, Apidae. The transcript has 2 exons. The record is from RefSeq and is a predicted model, not a curated record.
GGCAAACGACUUUUAGACUUGAGUCAGGGUUCGUUGGCCCGAACCCAGGGUCCCAACAAAAUAUAUAUUCGUGAAGUGAUACACAAGAAGCUGCAGAAUCGACGCGGGAAACGAAGUCGAGGAAGUGGCGUAGAUACAGCGCGUGCGCGAGAAAAAUUUCAACCGAUUCGAGUUUAUACCACUCUUCACUUAUCAAACGAGCAACAAAACAUUCGUUGAUUAUUGCGCAGCAGUUCAAUAUCAAAGGUUUUAAAAGAAUAAAAAUGUGGAAUCGUUGUUAAGACCUGAAUCUUGAAACGCAUUAACGAUGUGAAUUUUUUUCAAAUUUGACAUGCAUUUGAUAAAAUAUAACAAGGAGUAGGAUAGGAACUUUACAUACGUGACGAUUCCUACAUCAUACAGAACGUUUUUUAAUCCCAGAAAAGUACAGAAAAUAUCGUUGUUAUUUUCUUAAAUAUACAAAUAGAUUGAUAAAAAUGAACACCUUGUAUAUGAGUGGAGGUUCUGUUUAUACAUGAAGCAUGAUGGCGAGGCUUGCACGUGAGAGAGUCAAAUCGAGGACGAAGACGAUUGAAAUGAGGAAAAGUAACGGGGCGAAUAACGGGUUGAAUUUAACGCAUCUUGCCGUUACGAGCACAUUUGUAAGCCUAGUUGUUAGGUUACAGUGGAUCAUGUAACUUCACGAUCGAAUGCAUAUUAAUAAUGCACACUUGUCUCAGUGUUGUUCACAUCUAUUACCGGUUUGCAGACGGACAGACGAUUUACAUGAGAUCGUAAACAAGAUAAAUGUCGAUUUGUUCCAUAAUAUUUUUAUUUUUAUUCGGCGAAUUUUUAGUGGCCUUGCUUUCGAUAAACAAGCUUGACGCUAUCUCUCCUUGCUAUCGUUAGCGAUGACGUUGUGCGUCUUCUCUAGAAUCUUAAAUAUGUCUACGCCAGAGAAAAUGAAGUAGUCAUUGAGUUUCCAAGAACAUUGUUACUUUAUUCCAAGAAAUUUGUGACACUACAAUUUGUAUGAACGAGUUGAUGUAAUAGGAUCUCCGGAAUCCCGUUACCCAUCACGUUUAAGAUAAGAUACAUUUUUAUUAUGACCUUUGAUUAUUUUCUUAAAAGAACAAAAAGAACUGAAUUCGGAACUUAAUCUACAACAUUGUUUCUAAAUGUAAUCUGAAGGAGUGAAAACAAUAUUAAUAAACGGGAACAUUAGCAAAAAUUGAAAUAUUCACGUUUGUUACAAGUAUCUUCUUGCAACAUUAUACCUUUUGUCGUUUUACUAAAAUAUAAAAAUGAAUAAAAUUUUUGUUCCCUCUU